RNAcentral lists this non-coding RNA (19 nucleotides) under Mus musculus (house mouse). The record is from RNAcentral. Lineage: Eukaryota; Metazoa; Chordata; Mammalia; Rodentia; Muridae.
AGCUCGGUCUGAGGCCCCU